AGUGAACGCUGGCGGUAGGCCUAACACAUGCAAGUCGAACGGCAGCACAGUAAGAGCUUGCUCUUACGGGUGGCGAGUGGCGGACGGGUGAGGAAUACAUCGGAAUCUACUUUUUCGUGGGGGAUAACGUAGGGAAACUUACGCUAAUACCGCAUACGACCUACGGGUGAAAGCAGGGGAUCUUCGGACCUUGCGCGAUUGAAUGAGCCGAUGUCGGAUUAGCUAGUUGGCGGGGUAAAGGCCCACCAAGGCGACGAUCCGUAGCUGGUCUGAGAGGAUGAUCAGCCACACUGGAACUGAGACACGGUCCAGACUCCUACGGGAGGCGGCAGUGGGGAAUAUUGGACAAUGGGCGCAAGCCUGAUCCAGCCAUACCGCGUGGGUGAAGAGGGCCUUCGGGUUGUAAAGCCCUUUUGUUGGGAAAGAAAAGCAGCAGGUUAAUACCCCGCUGUUCUGACGGUACCCAAAGAAUAAGCACCGGCUAACUUCGUG
RNAcentral lists this ribosomal RNA (492 nucleotides) under uncultured bacterium. RNAcentral describes it as "partial 16S ribosomal RNA". It matches the Rfam family "Bacterial small subunit ribosomal RNA", at positions 29 to 507 of the family's 1533-position model. The record is from RNAcentral.